This 300-nucleotide ribosomal RNA is filed under the name uncultured bacterium. Its description in RNAcentral is "bacterial SSU rRNA". It matches the Rfam family "Bacterial small subunit ribosomal RNA", at positions 207 to 525 of the family's 1533-position model. The record is from RNAcentral.
UGGGCCCGACGAUAUGGAUGGGCAUGCGGAACAUUAGCUAGUUGGCGAGGUAACGGCUCACCAAGGCUACGAUGUUUAGGGGAUCUGAGAGGAUGACCCCCCACACUGGGACUGAGACACGGCCCAGACUCCUACGGGAGGCAGCAGUCGGGAAUUUUGCUCAAUGGACGAAAGUCUGAAGCAGCAACGCCGCGUGAGGGAUGAAGGCCUUCGGGUUGUAAACCUCUUUUAUCAGGGACGAUAAUGACGGUACCUGAUGAAUAAGUCACGGCUAACUACGUGCCAGCAGCCGCGGUAAUA